AAGUCGUAACAAGGUUUCCGUAGGUGAACCUGCGGAAGGAUCAUUAAUCAAUAUAAAUAUCACCUUUUCAUUCGGCACCGCAAGGUGCUGAAUGAAUAAGGCACACCUUUAGUGAGCUUCUAUGAAGUCCAUUAUCUUCAUAACUCCAUUUAUAUGUCUAAUACCUUUAUUCUCUUUUGAGCCUAGUGCAAGAAAGACAAUAAAAUCACAACAUAUAUACAACCUUUAACGAUGGAUAUCUCGGCUCGU
This 249-nucleotide unclassified non-coding RNA is filed under the name fungal sp. Its description in RNAcentral is "partial internal transcribed spacer region". The stretch from base 1 to 46 matches the Rfam family "Eukaryotic small subunit ribosomal RNA", at positions 1786 to 1831 of the family's 1831-position model. The record is from RNAcentral. Lineage: Eukaryota; Fungi.